Molecule: non-coding RNA, 522 nt
Organism: Lepisosteus oculatus (spotted gar)
Lineage: Eukaryota; Metazoa; Chordata; Actinopteri; Semionotiformes; Lepisosteidae
Source: the annotation of a RefSeq genome assembly
GAAUCUGAAUCCUGUGUUGCCCUUUUUCUCAGGGCUACAAUGGACAAUUUCCUCAGUCUCUUAAUGUUGAUCAAUUUCCUCCCAGGUUUGGCAGUGGGUGACUCCAUCUCUCCUCGACAGACAGUGAUCCACAAGACAGAGGGGGACUGGGUGACUCUGAGCUGCUCCUAUUCAAAGAGCAGUAGCUCUGAUUACUAUCUCUACUGGUACCGACAGUACCCUCACCAGUCACCACAAUUCAUUCUCUACAGGGGAGAACAAUCAAGGAGUUCUGAGUAUAAGGCAGACUUUGCCAAAACCCGUUUCAGCUCUACUGUAAGGGGGUCAUCAGCUACAAUGAGGAUUGAACUCCUGACUGCCAGUGACUCGGCUGUCUAUUACUGUGCUUUGAGAAGAGCACUGUGUGAAAAGUCAUGGAGACGCCUUACAAAAACUUCAAGCACCCCCUCUUCCCAAGCUGUGACACAUAACAGGAAGUUCUGCUUGAUUUCAUCAGUACAGUAGCAUCGGUGAAACCACACU